CACAUUGAGAGGAAAUGGAGUUUCAAAUGGCGAGCACUGGUAGUUACCUGACAGGCAUACAGACGAGGAGGCACACAAAGACUUCACUCUCUCUACACCUCUGAUGAAUAUAACAGGAAACCUGUUCAAUUACCACGCACUGCUAAAUCAUUCUGGCUAUGGAUACGGAGAACAUCAACAAAUGAUCAUCAACAUGCCAGAGGACAUACUCAUUGG
Molecule: long non-coding RNA, 216 nt
Organism: Oncorhynchus gorbuscha (pink salmon)
Lineage: Eukaryota; Metazoa; Chordata; Actinopteri; Salmoniformes; Salmonidae
Exons: 3
Source: RefSeq, a predicted model, not a curated record